Molecule: ribosomal RNA, 292 nt
Filed under: uncultured bacterium
Lineage: Bacteria
Description: partial 16S ribosomal RNA
Rfam family: Bacterial small subunit ribosomal RNA
Source: RNAcentral
GUGCCAGCCGCCGCGGUAAUACGUAGGGGGCAAGCGUUGUCCGGAUUUAUUGGGCGUAAAGCGCGCGUAGGCGGCGCGGUAUGUCGUGCGUGAAAUCUCCCGGCUUAACUGGGAGGGGCCGUGCGAAACUGCCGGGCUUGAGGUCGGAAGGGGAAAGUGGAAUUCCGGGUGUAGUGGUGGAAUACGUAGAUAUCCGGAGGAACACCAGCGGCGAAGGCGGCUUUCUGGUCCGAUACUGACGCUGAGGUGCGAAAGCGUGGGGAGCGAUCCGGAUUAGAAACCCUCGUAGUCC